CUACGGGAGGCAGCAGUGAGGAAUAUUGCGCAAUGAGCGAAAGCUAGACGCAGCAACGCCGCGUGAGCGAAGAAGGCCUUCGGGUUGUAAAGCUCUUUUCUGUGUGAAGAGAAGGACGGUAGCACAGGAAUAAGUGUCGGCUAACUACGUGCCAGCAGCCGCGGUAAAACGUAGGACGCAAGCGUUAUCCGGAUUUACUGGGCGUAAAGCGCGCGCAGGCGGUCAGUUAAGUUAUGCGUGAAAGCUCCCGGCUCAACCGGGAGAGGUCGUAUAAAACUGAUUGACUUGAAGGCAGCAGAGGCGUGUGGAAUUCCAGGUGGAGUGGUGAAAUGCGUAGAUAUCCGGAGGAACACCAGUGGCGAAGGCGACACGCUGGGCUGUACUUGACGCUAAGACGCGAAAGCGUGGGUAGCGAACGGGAUUAGAUACCCUCGUAGUC
Molecule: ribosomal RNA, 439 nt
Filed under: uncultured bacterium
Lineage: Bacteria
Description: partial 16S ribosomal RNA
Rfam family: Bacterial small subunit ribosomal RNA
Source: RNAcentral